Molecule: ribosomal RNA, 535 nt
Filed under: Hymenoscyphus fraxineus
Lineage: Eukaryota; Fungi; Ascomycota; Leotiomycetes; Helotiales; Helotiaceae
Description: eukaryotic LSU rRNA
Rfam family: 5.8S ribosomal RNA (bases 176-329)
Source: RNAcentral
UGCGGAAGGAUCAUUACAGAGUUCCUGCCCUCACGGGUAGAAACCCCACCCUUGUGUAUAUUAUAUUGUUGCUUUAGCAGGUCGCCCUCUGGGGCGUCGGCCUCGGCUGACUGUGCCUGCUAGAGGACCCUAAACUUUGAAAUACAGUGUCGUCUGAGUACUAUUUAAUAGUUAAAACUUUCAACAACGGAUCUCUUGGUUCUGGCAUCGAUGAAGAACGCAGCGAAAUGCGAUAAGUAAUGUGAAUUGCAGAAUUCAGUGAAUCAUCGAAUCUUUGAACGCACAUUGCGCCCCUUGGUAUUCCGGGGGGCAUGCCUGUUCGAGCGUCAUUUAGACCAACUCCCGCUCCGGCGGGGUCUUGGGCUGCGCCUUUGGGCGGGCCUUAAAACCAGUGGCGGUGCCCUAAGGCUCUACGCGUAGUAAUUCUUCUCGCGAUAGGGUCCUUGCGGUGUCUUGCCAGCAACCCCCAACUCUCUAGGGUUGACCUCGGAUCAGGUAGGGAUACCCGCUGAACUUAAGCAUAUCAAAAGCCGGG